RNAcentral lists this non-coding RNA (26 nucleotides) under Homo sapiens (human). Lineage: Eukaryota; Metazoa; Chordata; Mammalia; Primates; Hominidae. The record is from RNAcentral.
UCUGCUUUGACAUGGGACUAGAUGUG